Molecule: ribosomal RNA, 253 nt
Filed under: uncultured bacterium
Lineage: Bacteria
Description: partial 16S ribosomal RNA
Rfam family: Bacterial small subunit ribosomal RNA
Source: RNAcentral
UACGUAGGUGGCAAGCGUUGUCCGGAUUUAUUGGGUUUAAAGGGUGCGUAGGCGGCCCUGUAAGUCAGUGGUGAAAUACUCUAGCUUAACUAGAGGGGUGCCAAUGAUACUGCAGGGCUUGAGUACAGAUGAGGUAGGCGGAAUUGACGGUGUAGCGGUGAAAUGCAUAGAUAUGACAUAGAACACCAAUUGCGAAGGCAGCUUACUUCACGAUUAUUGACACUGAGGCACGAAAGCGUGGGGAGCAAACAGG